AGAGUUUGAUCCUGGCUCAGAGCGAACGCUGGCGGCAGGCCUGACACAUGCAAGUCGAACGAACUCUUCGGAGUUAGUGGCGGACGGGUGAGUAACACGUGGGAACGUGCCUUUAGGUUCGGAAUAACUCAGGGAAACUUGUGCUAAUACCGAAUGUGCCCUUCGGGGGAAAGAUUUAUCGCCUUUAGAGCGGCCCGCGUCUGAUUAGCUUGUUGGUGGGGUAAUGGCCCACCAAGGCUACGAUCAGUAGCUGGUCUGAGAGGAUGACCAGCCACAUUGGGACUGAGACACGGCCCAAACUCCUACGGGAGGCAGCAGUGGGGAAUCUUGCGCAAUGGGCGAAAGCCUGACGCAGCCAUGCCGCGUGUAUGAUGAAGGUCUUAGGAUUGUAAAAUACUUUCACCGGUGAAGAUAAUGACUGUAGCCGAG
Molecule: ribosomal RNA, 429 nt
Filed under: uncultured bacterium
Lineage: Bacteria
Description: bacterial SSU rRNA
Rfam family: Bacterial small subunit ribosomal RNA
Source: RNAcentral